AACGAACGCUGGCGGCAGGCUUAACACAUGCAAGUCGAACGCGUGUAGCAAUACACGAGUGGCGCACGGGUGAGUAACGCGUGGAUAUCUGCCUUUUGGUUCGGAAUAACCCCGGGAACUGGGGCUAAUACCGGAUGGUUCCUUCGGGAUAAAGAUUUAUCGCCAAAAGAUGAGUCCGCGUCCGAUUAGCUAGUUGGUGAGGUAAUGGCUCACCAAGGCGACGAUCGGUAGCUGGUCGAGAGGACGAUCAGCCACACUGGGACUGAGACACGGCCCAGACUCCUACGGGAGGCAGCAGUGGGGAAUAUUGGACAAUGGGGGCAACCCUGAUCCAGCCAUGCCGCGUGAGUGAUGAAGGCCUUCGGUUGGUUAAGU
This 375-nucleotide ribosomal RNA is filed under the name uncultured bacterium. RNAcentral's name for it is "bacterial SSU rRNA". It matches the Rfam family "Bacterial small subunit ribosomal RNA", at positions 29 to 431 of the family's 1533-position model. The record is from RNAcentral.